AGCUUCCUCCAGGCAGUUGAGGGCCUUAAGAGAAAAGGGUGAUGUCUACCAGAGGAAGAGGGAAAUCUGCCUUCAACCUGAGUUCACAUUCAAGUUGCAAGAUCAGCUCUUCCCUGGGUCUCCAGCCUGCUCAGCAGAUUUUGAUUUUGCUAGCCCCUACAAUCAUGCAAAUGAAUGUGAACAUUCACAUUUUCUUUCCCCUGACGUAGAGAAAUCUUCAUGAGGAUGGAGAACAUAGGAGUUAAGCCACUUUCAGAGGUGGGAAUGGAAAUUUUCAGAUUUGAUGAUGUUCCAGGUAGAGAAAUAACACCAUUGAUUCAAGAAAGAAAAAUGGGCCUAAAAGACGGAGUUUCACUCUUGUUGCCCAGGCUGGAG
Molecule: long non-coding RNA, 375 nt
Filed under: Homo sapiens (human)
Lineage: Eukaryota; Metazoa; Chordata; Mammalia; Primates; Hominidae
Description: HSALNT0403726
Source: RNAcentral